RNAcentral lists this long non-coding RNA (1302 nucleotides) under Gossypium barbadense (sea-island cotton). RNAcentral describes it as "long non-coding RNA (GBAR_LNC011072)". Lineage: Eukaryota; Viridiplantae; Streptophyta; Magnoliopsida; Malvales; Malvaceae. The record is from RNAcentral.
ACAUGUAGAGAAAACAAUAAACUCCAAUCAAAUUAAUAUAAAAUAUAAAUAAAUGAGAGAAUUGAAAUAUAAUUGUAGUGGGCCAAAUUUGCCCGAGCUCAUUAGAAAUCCAAAAAAAAAUAUAUAUAAAUAAACAAAUAAAAAUAAAAACAACCCACUGUCCAUUACAGUCCAAUUACAGAAACCAAUAGCGCAAACUAAUAUUAAAACCCAAGACCCAAGUGACAAACCCAAUGACUAAGCUUAGACCUGACCCAAAAAUAGGCCCAGUAAGCCCAAUGCCUAAACAGAGAAACCCUAGCAGCUUUCUGCUUGUGCCGUAGCAACCACACCGCGCCACGUCCACCCUCCAUACGAUGCCAGCGCUUUAGCAGCCAUGCCACGCCCAAACCGCCGUACCUGAGCGCGCACCCAUACCUGCAAGAAGACAAAAAGAGCAUCAGUGAAUAGAAACAAAGAUAUAUUGUAUAUUUUCAAUUUAUUUUUCUCUCUUUUUCGACUAUAAAAGCCAAGCUUUUAAUCGUUGUAAAGGUUACGAAAUACAAACGCACAUUUACGCAUACAGAGUUAAUAGAAAGCAAUCGAAAAAUAGAAGGUGAUUCAUACUUUUGAUUUCUGUAAUCUUUUUCUUUUUCUACUGAUAUUUAUCCAAGUCUUUCAGUAUUACUUUUUUAAAGAAUAAAAAAAAGGAAAAGAAAGGGGCUAUAUCGUGCGAUUCAACCGACGGUUCUCCUUUGCUUUGUCGAAAUCGGAGUUAAAAGAGGGGGAUUUCGUGGCCAAGGGAUAGUGAAUCGGAGCCGGAAGUGCGAGGCGUUGUUUCGAUGGCAAUUUGGUGCUUGGGAAGUGAAGGUCGAACGGAGGCUGAACAAGAGCAAGCAACUAGGGUUUCGGUUUCCCCUUUUGGCUUUGCCAAAAUGUUCUGACUUCUAGGCCGAUUUCCCAUUUUAUUUGAGGGUAUGAGGCGACGUCGUUUCAGGCUAGGUUCAACAGCCUUUGAAACGACGCCGGAUGGAUCUAUUUGGCACAACCCGCGCGCGUGUGACCCGACCUGGGGAGGGAUCCGCGUGCUUCCCGUUAAUGGGAAAUUUUCACAUUAGGUCCUCCAUAUUCGCGCGAGUAUUCGAUUGCGCCCUAUGCGCCAUGUUUUUUUUUUGAUUUGGACUUGUGAUUUAUGCCUUGUUGCAAUCUGAUCUGUAAUGAACCGAAAGUUACGGUAUCAGAAAUUGAGUCUCGAGUACUGUUUCUGUGAAAUUUAUUCACGAAUAUUUAUUAGAAAUAUUUAUGAAUUAUAGUUGAAUGGUU